This 84-nucleotide transfer RNA is filed under the name Spirochaetia bacterium. RNAcentral describes it as "tRNA-Leu". It matches the Rfam family "tRNA". Rfam says of the family: Transfer RNA (tRNA) molecules are approximately 80 nucleotides in length. Their secondary structure includes four short double-helical elements and three loops (D, anti-codon, and T loops). Further hydrogen bonds mediate the characteristic L-shaped molecular structure. tRNAs have two regions of fundamental functional importance: the anti-codon, which is responsible for specific mRNA codon recognition, and the 3' end, to which the tRNAs corresponding amino acid is attached (by aminoacyl-tRNA synthetases). tRNAs cope with the degeneracy of the genetic code in two manners: having more than one tRNA (with a specific anti-codon) for a particular amino acid; and 'wobble' base-pairing, i.e. permitting non-standard base-pairing at the 3rd anti-codon position. The record is from RNAcentral. Lineage: Bacteria; Pseudomonadati; Spirochaetota; Spirochaetia.
GCGGCUGUGGUGGAAUUGGUAGACACGCUAGCUUGAGGUGCUAGUGAGAGAGAUCUUGUGCUGGUUCAAGUCCAGUCAGCCGCA